ACGAAUAUGUUCGCCACCACAGAAACAUAACUAAAUAUAUUGUAUUUAUUGUAUUUUUAUGAUUUAUAAUAAAAACAAUAAAUAUUUGCGUAGUUUUGUCAUAAAUCAUAAAAAUACAAUAUAUUUAGUUAUGUUUCUGUGUUGGCGAACAUAUUCGU
RNAcentral lists this microRNA precursor (158 nucleotides) under Paramuricea clavata. The record is from RNAcentral. Lineage: Eukaryota; Metazoa; Cnidaria; Anthozoa; Malacalcyonacea; Plexauridae.